RNAcentral lists this ribosomal RNA (482 nucleotides) under uncultured bacterium. Its description in RNAcentral is "partial 16S ribosomal RNA". It matches the Rfam family "Bacterial small subunit ribosomal RNA", at positions 30 to 507 of the family's 1533-position model. The record is from RNAcentral.
AUUGAACGCUGGCGGCAUGCUUUACACAUGCAAGUCGAACGGUAACAGGCCGCAAGGUGCUGACGAGUGGCGAACGGGUGAGUAAUGCAUCGGAACGUGCCCAGUCGUGGGGGAUAACUACUCGAAAGAGUAGCUAAUACCGCAUACGAUCUAUGGAUGAAAGCGGGGGACCGUAAGGCCUCGCGCGGUUGGAGCGGCCGAUGUCAGAUUAGGUAGUUGGCGGGGUAAAGGCUCACCAAGCCAACGAUCUGUAGCUGGUCUGAGAGGACGACCAGCCACACUGGGACUGAGACACGGCCCAGACUCCUACGGGAGGCAGCAGUGGGGAAUUUUGGACAAUGGGCGCAAGCCUGAUCCAGCAAUGCCGCGUGCAGGAAGAAGGCCUUCGGGUUGUAAACUGCUUUUGUACGGAACGAAACGGCUCUGGUUAAUACCCGGGGCUAAUGACGGUACCGUAAGAAUAAGCACCGGCUAACUACGUG